UAAGAGUUAGCAAUGAACUUGCACCAAAAUUUCAGAUUUUCAGAUUUCAUUUUUACCCUGUGAGAAUGAGAAUCUUAUAGAACUGACGUUAAUCUCUCAAAGUGCUUACUCUGAGCAGUAGCAGGGUGUCUACGUUUGUUUUUUAGUUCGAUCGCAGAACUUUCGGAGGUUAUUAAUCUUAUGCCAAUUUGCCCCUAUUGACAUCACUUCACGCUUCAAUUUCUUGUUGUCUUCGAGAUAAACCUUUGGGUCGACGCCAUUAGACUCUCCAUUUUUAGAUGAUGAAGUGUUUUCAACACGAGGGUAUUUUCCAUUGCAUUGUGGUCAAAUGUAAAUUUCACCGUCAACUGCCCAAUACCAAUAUGGCGAAAUCACCAAUAUUGUGUCCAUAGGGAAAUUCUGAAGGCAAAAAUCACAAUGAAGAGUCCAUGAAUGCUGGAGCUUGGAUUUCUCUGUCAAAGAUGAAUCAAUGAUGAAAAAUAUUCUAGAGAGAUAAAACACUAUGUUGGCCGAUAGGAUGAACAAACAACGUGGAGGAUCGAGCAUUGAAUUACUCUUUUUGCUCUAUAUCAUAAAGGCUAAUAAUACCACAAAAUGUCUGAUUUCAAUAAUGCCAUUUAGGCAAUCGGGCAAAAUUGUUCAUUUUGCCCGAUGCUUUCAAAUUUCAAUGAUUGGUGAUUGUAACUAAGGCUCUUGGAAAUUGUCAUGCCCCAAGAUAAUUCAUACUAAUUUCGUUUGGGCUCAGGCUGAUGAUUAAAAAUUGAAGAAUG
Molecule: long non-coding RNA, 770 nt
Organism: Tigriopus californicus
Lineage: Eukaryota; Metazoa; Arthropoda; Copepoda; Harpacticoida; Harpacticidae
Exons: 3
Source: RefSeq, a predicted model, not a curated record